GCGGAAGCGAGACUUGAUUAUCAAACCACACAGUGAACCCGAUUGUCCCACGCUUUUGAGCAGCGCGGUGCCCAGCACUGGCGGGCUCUGGGAUUGCCUCCUCACGGGGGUUUCCUGGGGUUAUCUGCACAAUUGCGUGUUUUCCCACACACCCAGUGUAACCACUGAGUUGUGCUUCAUUGCACAGCCAAACCCAAAUCUGAAGAUAAGGUUGCCAUGCAAUGGUAAUCACUAACGAAAACAACUCUCAACAACGGAUAUCUUGGCUCUCGCAACGAUGAAGAACGCAGCGAAAUGCGAUACGUAGUGUGAAUUGCAGAAUUCCGUGAACCAUCGAAUCUUUGAACGCAUAUUGCGCUCGAGCCUUCGGGCAAGAGCACGCCUGCCUCAGCGUCGGUUUACACCCUCACCCCCCUAUCUUUGUGAUAGUGCCAAGCCUACACGGUUUGCGGGAGUGGAAUUGGCUUUCCCAAUCUCUUGUCUUGCAACUGAUUGGGUUGGCUGAAGUGCAGAGGCUUGAGCAAGGACCCGUUAUGGGCAUCAACUGGAUAGGUAGUGCCAGCCACCCGGCUGUCUACACGAAGUUGUUGCUUGUGGACCUUGCUGGAGGCCAGCAGGAAACACGCCUAGCGUGUACUAAACCUUCGACCUGAGCUCAGACGAGACUACCCGCUGAACUUAAGCAUAUCAAUAAGCGGAGGAAAGCUAAAACCCCACGGAGGCGGCUUCUGUUCUGCAACCAAGCUAACGCAUUAUACUUUCGCUCUCAGCAGUACUGUCGAUAUUGUUGUCUGUUGUCUCUUUUGGGCCCUCAUUCAAGGGCUCACGAGUUUAACACUACGCUUACCGAGACUAUUACACUGUUGCACUCACGUAGGCGAUUGGUGCCAUACAUUCGGUAAGACAGGCGCCGUACUCGAAUUACGCUUCUACACCUCACUAUCUAGACAUCCGGUUAAUACUUACCGUACGAACUUCCUCUCAUAGCAGCGACUAGUGGGGCUAGGCUGGUCUCUCGCGAG
This 1022-nucleotide ribosomal RNA is filed under the name Ankistrodesmus sp. LP. Its description in RNAcentral is "eukaryotic LSU rRNA". The stretch from base 243 to 396 matches the Rfam family "5.8S ribosomal RNA". The record is from RNAcentral. Lineage: Eukaryota; Viridiplantae; Chlorophyta; Chlorophyceae; Sphaeropleales; Selenastraceae.